GCUUACGGCCAUACCACCCUGAACACGCCCGAUCUCGUCCGAUCUCGAAGCUAAGCAGGUCGCCUGGUUAUACUUGGAUGGGAGACCGCCUGGAAUACCAGGUGCUGUAAGCU
RNAcentral lists this ribosomal RNA (113 nucleotides) under Labrus bergylta (ballan wrasse). The record is from RNAcentral. Lineage: Eukaryota; Metazoa; Chordata; Actinopteri; Labriformes; Labridae.